GCUCGUAGUUGGAUUUGUGGCAGUCGCGUGCGGCCCGGCAUUCGUGCCGGUGCUUGCUAGCGUCGCCAUCCUUGGGUGGAACCUGUGUGGCAUUAGGUUGUCGUGCAGGGGAUGCCCAUCGUUUACUGUGAAAAAAUUAGAGUGUUCAAAGCAGGCUUAUGCCGUUGAAUAUAUUAGCAUGGAAUAAUAAGAUAGGACCUUGGUACUAUUUUGUUGGUUUGCGCACCAAGGUAAUGAUUAAUAGGGACAGUUGGGGGUAUUCGUAUUCCAUUGUCAGAGGUGAAAUUCUUGGAUUUUUGGAAGACGAACUACUGCGAAAGCAUU
Molecule: ribosomal RNA, 324 nt
Filed under: Bacillariophyceae sp. ID-G4
Lineage: Eukaryota; Bacillariophyta; Bacillariophyceae
Description: SSU rRNA
Rfam family: Eukaryotic small subunit ribosomal RNA
Source: RNAcentral